AUUGAACGCUGGCGGCAUGCUUUACACAUGCAAGUCGAACGGCAGCGCGGGCUUCGGCCUGGCGGCGAGUGGCGAACGGGUGAGUAAUGCAUCGGAACGUGCCCAGUAGUGGGGGAUAGCCCGGCGAAAGCCGGAUUAAUACCGCAUACGACCUGAGGGUGAAAGCGGGGGACCGAAAGGCCUCGCGCUAUUGGAGCCGCCGAUGUCGGAUUAGCUAGUUGGUGGGGUAAAGGCUUACCAAGGCGACGAUCCGUAGCUGGUCUGAGAGGACGACCGGCCACACUGGGACUGAGACACGGCCCAGACUCCUACGGGAGGCAGCAGUGGGGAAUUUUGGACAAUGGGGGCAACCCUGAUCCAGCCAUGCCGCGUGCGGGAAGAAGGCCUUCGGGUUGUAAACCGCUUUUGUUCGGGAAGAAAUCCUCUGGGCUAAUACCCCGGGGGGAUGACGGUACCGGAAGAAUAAGCACCGGCUAACUACGUG
RNAcentral lists this ribosomal RNA (484 nucleotides) under uncultured bacterium. RNAcentral describes it as "partial 16S ribosomal RNA". It matches the Rfam family "Bacterial small subunit ribosomal RNA", at positions 28 to 507 of the family's 1533-position model. The record is from RNAcentral.